AACAUGUCUUUUUGUAUUAUUUUUAAAGUCUAACCUGCCCACUGAAUUUUAAAUGGCCGCAGUAUCCUAACUGUGCAAAGGUAGCAUAAUCAUUAGUCUUUUAAUUGAAGGCUGGUAUGAAUGGUUGGACGAGGUAUAAACUGUUUCAGAUAAAUUUAUUAUAGAAUUUUAUUUUUUAGUUAAAAAGCUAAAAUUUUUUUAAAAGACGAGAAGACCCUAUAAAUCUUUAUUUUUAUUUAAAUUUUAGUUAAGAAGAUAAAUUUAAUUAUAAUUUAAAUGAAAAUUUUAUUGGGGUGAUAUUAAAAUUUAAUAAACUUUUAAUUAUAUAAAUCAUUAAUUUAUGAGUAAUUGAUCCAGUUAUAUUGAUUAAAAAUUUAAGUUACUUUAGGGAUAACAGCGUAAUUUUUUUGGAGAGUUCUUAUCGAUAAAAAAGAUUGCGACCUCGAUGUUGGAUUAAGAAAAAUUUUAGGUGUAGUAGCU
This 480-nucleotide ribosomal RNA is filed under the name Meroplius alberquerquei. Its description in RNAcentral is "partial 16S ribosomal RNA". It matches the Rfam family "Bacterial large subunit ribosomal RNA", at positions 1894 to 2563 of the family's 2925-position model. Lineage: Eukaryota; Metazoa; Arthropoda; Insecta; Diptera; Sepsidae. The record is from RNAcentral.